CUGGCCCAACUGAUUGGUGGUGCUUGCACCUGAUUGACGAUGGAUUACCAGUGAGUGGCGGACGGGUGAGUAACACGUAGGUAACCUGCCCCGGAGCGGGGGAUAACAUUUGGAAACAGAUGCUAAUACCGCAUAACAACAAAAACCACAUGGCUUUUGUUUGAAAGAUGGCUUUGGCUAUCACUCUGGGAUGGACCUGCGGUGCAUUAGCUAGUUGGUAAGGUAACGGCUUACCAAGGCGAUGAUGCAUAGCCGAGUUGAGAGACUGAUCGGCCACAAUGGAACUGAGACACGGUCCAUACUCCUACGGGAGGCAGCAGUAGGGAAUCUUCCACAAUGGGCGCAAGCCUGAUGGAGCAACACCGCGUGAGUGAAGAAGGGUUUCGGCUCGUAAAACUCUGUUGUUGGAGAAGAACGUGCGUGAGAGUAACUGUUCACGCAGUGACGGUAUCCAACCAGAAAGUCACGGCUAACUACGUGCCAGCAGCCGCGGUAAUACGUAGGUGGCAAGCGUUAUCCGGAUUUAUUGGGCGUAAAGCGAGCGCAGGCGGUUGCUUAGGUCUGAUGUGAAAGCCUUCGGCUUAACCGAAGAAGUGCAUCGGAAACUGGGCGACUUGAGUGCAGAAGAGGACAGUGGAACUCCAUGUGUAGCGGUGGAAUGCGUAGAUAUAUGGAAGAACACCAGUGGCGAAGGCGGCUGUCUGGUCUGCAACUGACGCUGAGGCUCGAAAGCAUGGGUAGCGAACAGGAUUAGAUACCCUGGUAGUCCAUGCCGUAAACA
Molecule: ribosomal RNA, 781 nt
Filed under: uncultured bacterium
Lineage: Bacteria
Description: bacterial SSU rRNA
Rfam family: Bacterial small subunit ribosomal RNA
Source: RNAcentral